GGCCCUUUUGUGGUUUUGUUUAAUUUGUGGACAGAGACCCAUAGACAGGUGCAAAAAAUAAAUCCUCUUUUGCAAUCCAUAGCCCAUAAAGGUUAGUCCCAGGACUGUAGAAGAAUUAAAAAGCACCAAU
Molecule: small nucleolar RNA, 130 nt
Organism: Choloepus didactylus (southern two-toed sloth)
Lineage: Eukaryota; Metazoa; Chordata; Mammalia; Pilosa; Megalonychidae
Product: small nucleolar RNA SNORA40
Exons: 1
Source: RefSeq, a predicted model, not a curated record